Papio anubis (olive baboon) is the source of this 148-nucleotide unclassified non-coding RNA. It matches the Rfam family "Metazoan signal recognition particle RNA". Rfam says of the family: The signal recognition particle (SRP) is a universally conserved ribonucleoprotein. NCBI's taxonomy places the organism in Eukaryota, Metazoa, Chordata, Mammalia, Primates, Cercopithecidae. The record is from Ensembl.
GCCGGGCAUGGUGGUGCAUGCCUGUAAUCCCAGCUACUCAGGAGGUUGAGGCAGAUGAAUCACUUGAACCCAGGAGGUGGAGGUUGUGGUGAGCAGAGAUCGUGCCAUGGCACUCCAGCCUGGGCAACAGAGUGAGACUCUGUCUCAA